AGCUUUGUGCAGUGGCAGUAUUGUAGCCAAUGAGGUUUAUCCUAGGCAUGAUUAUUGCUAAUUGAAAACUUUUCCCAAUACCCCACUGUGAUGAAUUAAAAAAAAAGGAUCAUAUUUAGGUGACUCAGUCCUGUUCAAUUUUUUUAAAUAUGAUUUUUAU
This is a small nuclear RNA of 160 nucleotides. Its record names the gene U4. It matches the Rfam family "U4 spliceosomal RNA". From Rfam's summary of the family: U4 small nuclear RNA (U4 snRNA) is a component of the major U2-dependent spliceosome. The record is from Ensembl.